Molecule: ribosomal RNA, 461 nt
Filed under: uncultured bacterium
Lineage: Bacteria
Description: partial 16S ribosomal RNA
Rfam family: Bacterial small subunit ribosomal RNA
Source: RNAcentral
CCUACGGGAGGCAGCAGUGAGGAAUAUUGGUCAAUGGACGAGAGUCUGAACCAGCCAAGUAGCGUGAAGGAUGACUGCCCUAUGGUUUGUAAACUUCUUUUAUAGGGGAAUAAAAUGUUCCACGUGUGGGAUUUUGUAUGUACCAUAUGAAUAAGCAUCGGCUAACUCCGUGCCAGCAGCCGCGGUAAUACGGGGGAUCCGAGCGUUAUCCGGGUUUAUUGGGUUUAAAGGGAGCGUUGGUGGUUUGUUAAGUCAGUUGUGGAAGUUUGCGGCUCAACCGUAAAAUUGCAGUUGAAACUGGCAGUAUUGAGUACAGUAGAGGUGGGCGGAAUUCGUGGUGUAGCGGUGAAAUGCUUAGAUAUCACGAAGAACUCCGAUUGCGAAAGCAGCUUACUGAACUGCAACUGACACUGAGGCUAGAAAGUGUGGGUAUCAAACAGGAUUAGAUACCCCUGGUAGUC